AUACGUAGGGGGCGAGCGUUGUCCGGAUUUAUUGGGUUUAAAGGGUGCGCAGGCGGCCAUUUAAGUCAGCGGUUAAAUCGUGGGGCUCAACCCCAUUCUGCCGUUGAUACUGGGUGGCUUGAUUGCGGUCGAGGUUGGCGGAAUUCGUUGUGUAGCGGUGAAAUGCAUAGAUAUGACGAAGAACACCGAUUGCGUAGGCAGCUGACCAGACCGCAAAUGACGCUCAUGCACGAAAGUGCGGGGAUCGAACAGGAUUAGAUACCCUGGUAGUCCGCACAGUAAACGAUGAAUACUUGUUUUCGGCGAUAUAAUGUCGGAGGCAAAGCGAAAGCGAUAAGUAUUCCACCUGGGGAGUACGCCGGCAACGGUGAAACUCAAAGGAAUUGACGGGG
This 392-nucleotide ribosomal RNA is filed under the name uncultured bacterium. RNAcentral describes it as "partial 16S ribosomal RNA". It matches the Rfam family "Bacterial small subunit ribosomal RNA", at positions 523 to 918 of the family's 1533-position model. The record is from RNAcentral.